This 90-nucleotide small nuclear RNA is filed under the name Phocoena sinus (vaquita). Lineage: Eukaryota; Metazoa; Chordata; Mammalia; Artiodactyla; Phocoenidae. The record is from RNAcentral.
GUGCUCGCUUUGGCAGCACAUAUACUAAAAUUGGAACGACACAGAGAAGAUUAGCAUGGCCCCUGCACAAGGAUGACACGCAAAUUCGUG